CCUACGGGAGGCAGCAGUGAGGCAUAUUGGUCAAUGGGCGCGAGCCUGAACCAGCCAAGUAGCGUGAAGGAUGACUGCCCUACGGGUUGUACACUUCUUUUAUAAAGGAAUAAAGUGAGGCACGUGUGCCUUUUUGUAUGUACUUUAUGAAUAAGGAUCGGCUAACUCCGUGCCAGCAGCCGCGGUAAUACGGAGGAUCCGAGCGUUAUCCGGAUUUAUUGGGUUUAAAGGGAGCGUAGAUGGGUUGUUAAGUUAGUUGUGAAAGUUUGCGGCUCAACAUUGAAAUUGCAGUUGAUACUGGCAGACUAGAGAACAGAUGAGGCAGGCGGAAUGCGUGGUGUAGCGGUGAAAUGCUUAGAUAUCACGCAGAACUCCGAUUGCGAAGGCAGCUUACUAAACUGCCACUGACAUUGAUGCUCGAAAGUGUGGGUAUCAAACAGGAUUAGAUACCCCAGUAGUC
This 460-nucleotide ribosomal RNA is filed under the name uncultured bacterium. RNAcentral's name for it is "partial 16S ribosomal RNA". It matches the Rfam family "Bacterial small subunit ribosomal RNA", at positions 338 to 795 of the family's 1533-position model. The record is from RNAcentral.